GUGCAGGGCAAGGAAAAAAAUUUCGACCGGUAAAUCCGGUUUACCGGAAAAUUUACCGUUACCGGUAGUGUCCGAGAAACGGAUUUCGACCCAUACGACGGUGAGGAUGAUGGUAGCUCUACCUCUGUCAGUUCCACCUACAGCUACCCGUCGGCACCCACCUUUGUGUGGCCACCACAACCACAUCCGAUGGCUGUCCCUCCGCGUCCUCUAUAUGGAUAUCCUCAUAUAUACUAUCAAGGAUACCUCCCAUAUGGAUUUCCUCACAUGUACUAUCAGAAAUAUCCCCCAGAGCAAGAUCACAGAGAUGACGAAUGAGUACCCAUGUAUGUAGGUAACACAUCUUAUUUUCUCACUUGCAUUCAUUUCGUUUGCAUCUUCUCAUCCAUUUUAUUUAUUUCAUUCUAUAGGAUUCGACGUUACAAUGUGAGUCAUCAACAAUUUCCGGUCGGUCGUAAGGUUUUCCUGUUGAAAAACACCGAAAUAAAAAUUUUAGAGUAUAUUUUGUGUUACCUAUUUGAGACUUGUAUUAUUUGAACCUAUAAAUUGUGUUAACAAGUUGAACCUAUAUUUUAUUGCAUUUGGAUUGUGGUUUGUAUUGA
This is a long non-coding RNA of Panicum virgatum (switchgrass), 602 nucleotides long. RefSeq lists it as uncharacterized. Lineage: Eukaryota; Viridiplantae; Streptophyta; Magnoliopsida; Poales; Poaceae. The transcript is spliced from 2 exons. The record is from RefSeq and is a predicted model, not a curated record.